This 254-nucleotide ribosomal RNA is filed under the name uncultured bacterium. RNAcentral describes it as "partial 16S ribosomal RNA". It matches the Rfam family "Bacterial small subunit ribosomal RNA", at positions 524 to 776 of the family's 1533-position model. The record is from RNAcentral.
UACGUAGGGCGCAAGCGUUGUCCGGAAUUAUUGGGCGUAAAGAGCUCGUAGGCGGUCUGUCACGUCUGCCGUGAAAACCCGAGGCUUAACCUCGUGGCUUGCGGUGGAUACGGGCAGACUAGAGGUAGGUAGGGGAGAACGGAAUUCCCGGUGUAGCGGUGAAAUGCGCAGAUAUCAGGAGGAACACCGAUGGCGAAGGCAGGUCUCUGGGCCACUACUGACGCUGAGAAGCGAAAGCAUGGGGAGCGAACAGG